Molecule: ribosomal RNA, 515 nt
Filed under: uncultured bacterium
Lineage: Bacteria
Description: bacterial SSU rRNA
Rfam family: Bacterial small subunit ribosomal RNA
Source: RNAcentral
GCAGCAGUGAGGAAUAUUGGUCAAUGGACGCAAGUCUGAACCAGCCAUGUCGCGUGCAGGAAGACAGCCCUACGGGUUGUAAACUGCUUUUAUACGGGAAGAAAAAGCGCUACGUGUAGCGCCUUGCCGGUACCGUACGAAUAAGGAUCGGCUAACUCCGUGCCAGCAGCCGCGGUAAUACGGAGGAUCCAAGCGUUAUCCGGAUUUAUUGGGUUUAAAGGGUGCGUAGGCGGAUAUAUAAGUCAGCGGUGAAAUCCUGCAGCUUAACUGUAGAGUUGCCGUUGAUACUGUGUAUCUUGAGAGUAGAUGAGGUAGGCGGAAUGUGUUGUGUAGCGGUGAAAUGCAUAGAUAUAACACAGAACACCAAUUGCGAAGGCAGCUUACUAAACUAUAUCUGACGCUGAGGCACGAAAGCGUGGGGAUCAAACAGGAUUAGAUACCCUGGUAGUCCACGCCGUAAACGAUGAUUACUAGUUGUUUGCAAUAUAUCGUAAGCGACUGCGCGAAAGCAUAAG